CCCCUUUAGAAGUUAUCUCCCUUUUAUUGGUUUUUUUCGACAUGGCCCCCUAAAUGUUUUUAAAGAUAUCAUGACCUUAUUUGGACAAAAGCUAGAUGUCAUCAUGAUGUAUUACCAUAUGAGGCUGCUAAGGAUUUCAUCAUUCCCUAUGAGAGUUAUGUUCCCUUGAAGCGAUUUCUUUCUUUUGAUUUUCUUAAAAAUAUUCAGAUGAAUCGAUUUGAAAACGGCAACAUGUACAAAAACAGAUGGCAAUG
Molecule: long non-coding RNA, 254 nt
Filed under: Mytilus galloprovincialis (Mediterranean mussel)
Lineage: Eukaryota; Metazoa; Mollusca; Bivalvia; Mytilida; Mytilidae
Source: RNAcentral